UAGCUCAGUGGUAGAGCACAUGCUUUGCAUAUAUGAGGCCCUGGGUUUAAUCCCCAG
This 57-nucleotide transfer RNA is filed under the name Ictidomys tridecemlineatus (thirteen-lined ground squirrel). RNAcentral's name for it is "Spermophilus tridecemlineatus (thirteen-lined ground squirrel) tRNA". It matches the Rfam family "tRNA", at positions 8 to 63 of the family's 71-position model. Rfam says of the family: Transfer RNA (tRNA) molecules are approximately 80 nucleotides in length. Lineage: Eukaryota; Metazoa; Chordata; Mammalia; Rodentia; Sciuridae. The record is from Rfam by way of RNAcentral.